GAGGUGGAAGGAUGGCUUGAGCCCAGGAGGUGGAGGUUGCAGGGAGCUGUGAUCAUACCACUGCACUCCAGCCUGGGUGACAGAGCAAGACCCUGUCU
MicroRNA precursor from Cercocebus atys (sooty mangabey), 98 nucleotides. Lineage: Eukaryota; Metazoa; Chordata; Mammalia; Primates; Cercopithecidae. The record is from Ensembl.